CCUACGGGUGGCAGCAGUGGGGAAUAUUGGGCAAUGGGCGCAAGCCUGACCCAGCAACGCCGCGUGAAGGAAGAAGGCUUUCGGGUUGUAAACUUCUUUUGACAGGGAAGAGCAGAAGACGGUACCUGUCGAAUAUGCCACGGCUAACUACGUGCCAGCAGCCGAGGUAAUACGUAGGUGGCAAGCGUUGUCCGGAUUUACUGGGUGGAAAGGGCGUGUGGCCGGGCCGACAAGGCAGAUGUGCAAGUCGGGGGCUCAACCCCCGAACUGCAUUUGAAACUGUUGGUCUUGAGUAUCGGAGAGGCAGGCGGAAUUCCUAGUGUAGCGGUGAAAUGCGUAGAUAUUAGGAGGAACACCAGUGGCGAAGGCGGCCUGCUGGACGACAACUGACGGUGAGGCGCGAAAGCGUGGGGAGCAAACAGGAUUAGAUACCCCAGUAGUC
Molecule: ribosomal RNA, 442 nt
Filed under: uncultured bacterium
Lineage: Bacteria
Description: partial 16S ribosomal RNA
Rfam family: Bacterial small subunit ribosomal RNA
Source: RNAcentral